UCCCAUGAAAUUGAUUGUUGCCUUGGACCACGGAAAAUGAGAUUCCAUCAUUUCAAUGGCAUGAAAUCCAUAUAAGUAAAUAUUUGUUCAUCCACCGCCAUAGCCAACUAUCCGAGUCCUUUGUCAAUUGGGAUUGCUCAUGUGGCAGUUUUUUUAAAAAAUAAAAAUUAAAAGAAAAUACUUUGCCGACAACCGACCAUGCAAACCAAGCCCAUAUAGGACUUUAAUUCGUGGUUCCUGACAUGCCCCUAAGUUCUAUAAAUAGCCCACCAUCUAUGAUUUAGAUUCCAAGUCGUGAGUUUUAAUUUUUCAAGAGUUUGGACGUUGUGCAAUUUGAAUGCAAGUCUAUUAAUUUGAGAAAGCAACUCCAUCACUCCAUCAAUCCUUGACAAUUAAGACCCACCGAUAUUAAGGAAACCAUAUUUUGGAUGCUAAGUUCGUGAAAACGAGGAAAAAAGGUAUUUUUGAUUACUUUUUGGAGAAAUUAUAGAUGUUCGGGAUACUUUUUGUCUUGAUCAUGAUCAAAGCAUAUUCGAGGAUCGAAGAAGAGCUGAAAAGAUAACUCUCGAUACUUACUAAGUCAACAUGUGGACUGCAAGUAGGACAUACAGACCGCAAGUAGGCAAAGAAAGUGCUAGAAGUCUAAAAUACUGAGAGCUAAACUUGUAAGAUUUUUUUCAUCCACUAUCUGUGCCCUGUACAUCUGCCCAAGGUCAGGACUACAGGUACUAUAUGCGCCUAGGGUCAAAGCACAGGUACUAACCAUAUGUGGCCAUCGACCUUAUUUUCUCAUAUUUUAUUUGGACUUUGAUUUUAGAGUUUCCUCAUGUACUAUAAAUACCCUUUAAGUGUUUAUUAGUAGGAGUUACGCACUUUUGAUGCUCACAAACAUAUUUUGAUUCCAAGAUUUGAU
Capsicum annuum is the source of this 913-nucleotide long non-coding RNA. RefSeq lists it as uncharacterized. NCBI's taxonomy places the organism in Eukaryota, Viridiplantae, Streptophyta, Magnoliopsida, Solanales, Solanaceae. The record is from RefSeq and is a predicted model, not a curated record. The transcript is spliced from 3 exons.